This 574-nucleotide ribosomal RNA is filed under the name Basidiomycota sp. KUC9008. RNAcentral's name for it is "LSU rRNA". It matches the Rfam family "Eukaryotic large subunit ribosomal RNA", at positions 66 to 634 of the family's 3401-position model. Lineage: Eukaryota; Fungi; Basidiomycota. The record is from RNAcentral.
UAACAAGGAUUCCCCUAGUAACGGCGAGUGAAGCGGGAAGAGCUCAAAUUUGUAAUCUGGUCGCUUUGCGAUCCGAGUUGUAAUCUCGAGAAGCGUUAUCCGUGCCGGCCCACGCAUGAGUCUGUUGGAAUGCAGCGUCAAAGAGGGUGAGAACCCCGUUCGUGGUGUGGAUUACCGGUGCAUUGCGUUGCGCUUUCGAAGAGUCGCGUUGUUUGGGAAUGCAGCGCUAACGGGUGGUAAAUUCCAUCUAAAGCUAAAUAUUGGCGAGAGACCGAUAGCGAACAAGUACCGUGAGGGAAAGAUGAAAAGCACUUUGGAAAGAGAGUUAAAUAGCACGUGAAAUUGUUGAAAGGGAAACGCUUGAAGUCAGACAUGCGAUCGAGGUUCAGCCGCAAGGUGUACUCCUCGUCCCGCAGGCUAGCAUCAGUUUGGAAGGUCGGAUAAGGGGGAGGGGAAGGUGGCUCCCUCGGGAGUGUUAUAGCCCCUCUCUGGAUACGGCUUUUGAGACUGAGGAAUGCAACGCGCCUUUAUGGCAGGGGAUUCGUCCUCUUCCGCGUCAAGGAUGCUGGCGUAA